This 444-nucleotide ribosomal RNA is filed under the name bacterium Ellin7503. RNAcentral describes it as "bacterial SSU rRNA". It matches the Rfam family "Bacterial small subunit ribosomal RNA", at positions 30 to 474 of the family's 1533-position model. The record is from RNAcentral.
AUUGAACGCUGGCGGCAUGCCUUACACAUGCAAGUCGAACGGUAACAGGUUAAGCUGACGAGUGGCGAACGGGUGAGUAAUGUAUCGGAACGUGCCCAGUAGUGGGGGAUAGCCCGGCGAAAGCCGGAUUAAUACCGCAUACGACCUACGGGUGAAAGCGGGGGAUCGCAAGACCUCGCGCUAUUGGAGCGGCCGAUAUCAGAUUAGGUAGUUGGUGAGGUAAAGGCUCACCAAGCCGACGAUCUGUAGCUGGUCUGAGAGGACGACCAGCCACACUGGGACUGAGACACGGCCCAGACUCCUACGGGAGGCAGCAGUGGGGAAUUUUGGACAAUGGACGCAAGUCUGAUCCAGCCAUGCCGCGUGCGGGAAGAAGGCCUUCGGGUUGUAAACCGCUUUUGUCAGGGAAGAAAAGUCUGAGGUUAAUACCUUCGGAUGAUGACG